UCCAAGUUCAACAUUCCUCACAUUGCCUCUUUUUUGGAUAAAUUUCUUUUCAAAAAAAUAGCAUGCCUACUUACAACCAUCUUUUGUUCAGUAGGAUGGAAGAAAUAGUAUCCAUUAAUUUUUUUAAAAUAUCCUACAAACUUAUACUUGCCUGAUCUAGCAUUUAGCUUAUGCUUGAAAAUAUUUCCGACAUAAGCAGGACAGCCCC
This 208-nucleotide long non-coding RNA is filed under the name Elaeis guineensis (African oil palm). RNAcentral's name for it is "long non-coding RNA (EGUI_LNC032326)". Lineage: Eukaryota; Viridiplantae; Streptophyta; Magnoliopsida; Arecales; Arecaceae. The record is from RNAcentral.